This 364-nucleotide unclassified non-coding RNA is filed under the name uncultured bacterium. RNAcentral describes it as "contains 16S-23S intergenic spacer region". The record is from RNAcentral.
UCCGGGUUGGACCCGGCGGUCCCGCCAGACAUGGUAACUGGCAGCGAGGGUUGCGCUCGUUUCGGGACUUAACCCAACACCUCACGGCGCGAGCUGACGACAGCCAUGCAGCAUCUGUGCACGCUCCCUUGCGGGUCCUUCCGCUUUCACGGUCGUACCACGUGCAUGUCAAGGGUAGGUAAGGUUUUUCGCGUUGCAUCGAAUUAAACCACAUCAUCCACCGCUUGUGCGGGCCCCCGUCAAUUCCUUUGAGUUUUAAUCUCGCGACCGUACUCCCCAGGCGGACGACUUCACGCGUUAGCUGCGUUACUAAGGGAUUUAACUCCCCCAACAACUAGUCGUCAUCGUUUAGGGCGUGGACUAC